AUACAGCACAGUUGUUUUUUUCCAAAGCACUAUUAAGCUUUUCUUUCACAAGGAAAAAGGAAUGUUUGCAAAGAUACUAAAGAUGAUAGCAGCUCCUGUCCCUGAUGGUGAAGAGGACUGCAACGGUGAUGGCAGAUGGAGUCGUGCCAGUUCAAGGAAAACUUGCCUCAUGAAUGCAGAAUAUUUCUUCACAUAAGAUGCCAGGAUGCAGAGGCUGUGUGGGCAUGGAUGCUUUUUGAAAAGUUUGUGUUCCGUGGGAGGACCUACAAUUCCAAAACAACAAAAAGAGAUUCAGAAUGAAAGGGAGAACAUCUCCAAAUUUCCCUUGGAAGGGAAGCCUGGAUGGGGAGCAGUGGCUGAGAUCUGUGGCUUUGGCUGGAUGACAGGCUACCUCAGACCACAGUGUGAAAAAGGAAGAUGGAUAUACAGCAAGCCUACAAGGAAACCCGAUAUAUCAUCAGGGAAAAAACUUGACACAUACAGAGUGUUCCAUGAAUCAUGAAAAUACAUUUCAACAACUAAGCUGAAACCCUCAUGAGACAAGGAGAGAGCCACUGGAGGCUCAGAGAAAACUGCAACCCCAGAUGUUACACAAGAGCCAGUAUCAUCUGAGCUAAGGGAAGAGGAUAAGGCAGGUCACAGCAAUGGUGCAUUCCAGUUGGCAACACCCAAGCUAAUGUGCGUUCAUUGGACAGGCAGUGGGCAGGCACACAGGCAGCUGCCAUCCAAACAGAUGGAGUGGGAGGGCAAGACUGGUGGACAAAGGAUGCACACCUUGGGUGAAACCAUGUUUCAUCAGUUGUUCUGCCCACUGAGUAACCUGUUGAGUGUUGGUGUGUCAGCUCCAGAGUGACAGUGGAUAUGAACAAGAUCUGCAGCUUGUUCCAAAAGCAUCAAGGGUUCCCGUGAGAUCUCCCACCCGAGGAAUUACUAGAGCCAAAGCUGCACAGCUUGCAAGACUGGAGGAUAUCAAAGGAAUGAAGUCCAGCAUGGCUGUGGGCUAUUUUCUGUACUCAAUAAAGGUAAAAUAUGCAUGCAA
Strigops habroptila (Kakapo) is the source of this 1039-nucleotide long non-coding RNA. RefSeq lists it as uncharacterized. The record is from RefSeq and is a predicted model, not a curated record. The transcript has 4 exons. NCBI's taxonomy places the organism in Eukaryota, Metazoa, Chordata, Aves, Psittaciformes, Psittacidae.